CCUACGGGAGGCAGCAGUGGGGAAUAUUGGGCAAUGGGCGCAAGCCUGACCCAGCAACGCCGCGUGAAGGAAGAAGGCUCUCGGGUUGUAAACUUCUUUUAUCAGGGACGAAGCAAGUGACGGUACCUGAUGAAUAAGCCACGGCUCACGACGUGCCAGCAGCCGCGGUAAUACCUAGGUGGCAAGCGUUAUUCGGAUUUACUGGGUGUAAUGGGCGUGUAGGCGGGAAAGCAAGUCAGAUGUGAAAAGCAUGGGCUCAACCUGUGGCCUGCAUUUGAAACUGUUUUUCGUGAGUACUGGAGAGGCAGGCGGAAGUCCUAGUGUAGCGGUGAAAUGCGUAGAUAUUAGGAGGAACACCAGUGGCGAAGGCGGUCUGCUGGACAGCAACUGACGCUGAGGCGCGAAAGCGUGGGGAGCAAACAGGAUUAGAUACCCCUGUAGUC
RNAcentral lists this ribosomal RNA (443 nucleotides) under uncultured bacterium. RNAcentral describes it as "partial 16S ribosomal RNA". It matches the Rfam family "Bacterial small subunit ribosomal RNA", at positions 338 to 795 of the family's 1533-position model. The record is from RNAcentral.